RNAcentral lists this ribosomal RNA (468 nucleotides) under uncultured bacterium. RNAcentral's name for it is "partial 16S ribosomal RNA". It matches the Rfam family "Bacterial small subunit ribosomal RNA", at positions 28 to 507 of the family's 1533-position model. The record is from RNAcentral.
GACGAACGCUGGCGGCGUGCUUAACACAUGCAAGUCGAACGGAAAGGCCCUGCUUUUGUGGGGUGCUCGAGUGGCGAACGGGUGAGUAACACGUGAGUAACCUGCCCUUGACUUUGGGAUAACUUCAGGAAACUGGGGCUAAUACCGGAUAGGAGCUCCUGCUGCAUGGUGGGGGUUGGAAAGAUUCGGCGGUUGGGGAUGGACUCGCGGCUUAUCAGCUUGUUGGUGGGGUAGUGGCUUACCAAGGCUUUGACGGGUAGCCGGCCUGGGAGGGUGACCGGCGACAUGGGGACUACGAGACGGCCCAGAAGCCUACGGGAGGCAGCAGUGGGGAAUAUUACGCAAUGGGCGGAAGCCUGAGGCAGCAGCGCCGCGUGCGGGAUGACGGCCUUCGGGUUGUAAACCGCUUUCGCCUGUGACGAAGCGUGAGUGACGGUAAUGGGUAAAGAAGCACCGGCUAACUACGUG